RNAcentral lists this ribosomal RNA (440 nucleotides) under uncultured bacterium. RNAcentral's name for it is "partial 16S ribosomal RNA". It matches the Rfam family "Bacterial small subunit ribosomal RNA", at positions 338 to 795 of the family's 1533-position model. The record is from RNAcentral.
CCUACGGGUGGCAGCAGUGGGGAAUAUUGCACAAUGGGGGGAACCCUGAUGCAGCAAUGCCGCGUAGGUGAAGAAGCACUCCGGUGCGUAAAGCCCUGUCAGCAGGGAAGAAAAUGACAGUACCUGACCAAGAAGCCCCGGCUAACUACGGGCCAGACGCCGCGGUAAUACGUAGGGGGCAAGCGUUAGCCGGAUUUACUGGGUGUAAAGGGAGCGCAGGCGGUAUGGCAAGUCAAAUGGUAAAUCCCAGGGCCCAACCCCGGGACUGCAUUUGAAACUGCAGAACUGGAGUGGCGGAGAGGUAAGUGGAAUGCGUAGUGUAGCGGUGAAAUGCGUAGAUAUUAGGAGGAACACCAGUGGCGAAGGCGGCUUACGGGACGGUGACUGACGCUGAGGCUCGAAAGCGUGGGGAGCAAACAGGAUUAGAUACCCUUGUAGUC